This is a long non-coding RNA of Ceratina calcarata, 516 nucleotides long. RefSeq lists it as uncharacterized. The transcript has 3 exons. NCBI's taxonomy places the organism in Eukaryota, Metazoa, Arthropoda, Insecta, Hymenoptera, Apidae. The record is from RefSeq and is a predicted model, not a curated record.
UCAGUGCGGUUCCGCCUGAUUUUGAACAUGCUUAUUCCUCUGAUUCGCCUGAAACAUGCAUGUUGAAUAUGUGAAUUGUCAGAGCCGUCAUGAUAUUUCAUGAGACAAUCGAACAUAUAUAUAAAUGGAAGAGCACAUAGAGAAGAAAUCGAAAGAUAAUCGCUAGGUUACUUACCAAAGGGCUUACUUUGAAAGGAUUAUGUACUGAACAGUUUCCAAAAGAAAUGCAGAAUGAAAAUGUGAAUGUACAACAUAAAGGAGCAUAUACAGAGGAUUCAAUUAUGGGAAGGAGCAAUUAUGAAUCAAGACCUGUAAGUACGUCGGUAACACAGCCUUUAUUCUUUCAGUACUCUCUCAUUAUAAUUGUAAAACCGUUUUUAAUUUUUACAGGAGCAUAUACAGAGGAUUCAAUUAUGGGAAGGAGCAAUUAUGAAUCAAGACCUGUAAGUACGUCGGUAACACAGCCUUUAUUCUUUCAGUACUCUCUCAUUAUAAUUGUAAAACCGUUUUUAAUUU